RNAcentral lists this ribosomal RNA (253 nucleotides) under uncultured bacterium. RNAcentral's name for it is "partial 16S ribosomal RNA". It matches the Rfam family "Bacterial small subunit ribosomal RNA", at positions 524 to 776 of the family's 1533-position model. The record is from RNAcentral.
AACGUAGGUGGCGAGCGUUAUCCGGAUUUACUGGGCGUAAAGGGUGUGCAGGCGGGCUGUUAAGUGGUGUAUGAAAUCGCCGGGCUCAACCGGGCGAGGUUAUGCCAGACUGGCAGUCUAGAGAGCGAGAGAGGGACGUGGAAUUCCGGGUGUAGUGGUGAAAUGCGUAGAGAUCCGGAGGAACCCCAGAGGCGAAGGCGGCGUCCUGGCUCGCAUCUGACGCUCAGACGCGACAGCAUGGGGAGCGAACGGG